GCAGUGGUGGCUCAGUGGUUAAGGCUCCAGGUUACUACCUAGAAGGUCAGGGGUUCAAGCUUCCACUACUGGG
Pangasius djambal is the source of this 73-nucleotide non-coding RNA. The record is from the annotation of a GenBank genome assembly. NCBI's taxonomy places the organism in Eukaryota, Metazoa, Chordata, Actinopteri, Siluriformes, Pangasiidae.